GAGUGAGAAAAUGAUAGGAGUGUAG
Molecule: non-coding RNA, 25 nt
Filed under: Cricetulus griseus (Chinese hamster)
Lineage: Eukaryota; Metazoa; Chordata; Mammalia; Rodentia; Cricetidae
Source: RNAcentral